GAUCGCACACGCGCUACACUGAUGUAUUCAAUGAGUUUAUAGCCUUGGCUGACAGGCCCGGGUAAUCUUUGAAAUUUCAUCGUGAUGGGGAUAGAUCAUAGCAAUUGUUGGUCUUCAACGAGGAAUUCCUAGUAAGCGCGAGUCAUCAGCUCGCGUUGACUAUGUCUUUGCCCUUUGUACACACCGCCUGUCGCUCCUACCGUGAAUGAUCCGGUGAAAUGUUCGCAUCGCGGCGACAUGGGCGGUUCGCUGCCCGCGACGUCGCGAGAAGUCUAUUGAACCUUAUCAUUUAGAGGAAGGAGAAGUCGUAACAAAGUUUCCGUAGGUGAACCUGCGGAAG
This 340-nucleotide ribosomal RNA is filed under the name Nicotiana attenuata. RNAcentral describes it as "rRNA SSU_rRNA_eukarya". It matches the Rfam family "Eukaryotic small subunit ribosomal RNA", at positions 1485 to 1823 of the family's 1831-position model. The record is from RNAcentral. Lineage: Eukaryota; Viridiplantae; Streptophyta; Magnoliopsida; Solanales; Solanaceae.